Molecule: ribosomal RNA, 239 nt
Filed under: uncultured bacterium
Lineage: Bacteria
Description: partial 16S ribosomal RNA
Rfam family: Bacterial small subunit ribosomal RNA
Source: RNAcentral
GUAUAAACAUGGCUCAGGAUGAACGCUAGCGGCAGGCUUAACACAUGCAAGUCGAGGGGCAGCGAGAUCAAAGCUUGCUUUGAUUGUCGGCGACCGGCGCACGGGUGCGUAACGCGUAUGCAACCUACCCACUACAGGGGGAUAACACUGAGAAAUCGGUACUAAUACCCCAUAAUAUCUUGAAGCAUCUUUCGAGGUUGAAAACUCCGGUGGUAGUGGAUGGGCAUGCGUUGUAUUAG